Molecule: long non-coding RNA, 237 nt
Filed under: Lathyrus oleraceus (garden pea)
Lineage: Eukaryota; Viridiplantae; Streptophyta; Magnoliopsida; Fabales; Fabaceae
Description: Pisum sativum (pea) long non-coding RNA (PSAT_LNC034143)
Source: RNAcentral
AACAGUGAAGACACAUGAUAACUGAACCACACCAAAGCCAAAAUGAAGUUAAACAUGUCUAUACCACUCAUGCCAAAUUUCAAAUCCAUCCAAUUAAUAACCAGAAUUUCACAAAUCAAAUACAAACAUGUCUCACAAAAAGUUCACAAAUGGCUAAACAGAAAAUAAAAUCCCAAUCAAAUAGGAAAUGGAUCAAAAAAAUCCACAAAAAAUCAUGCUCAAACUAGACAUUCAGAA